AACGAACGCUGGCGGCAGGCCUAACACAUGCAAGUCGAGCGAGGACUUCGGUUCUAGCGGCGGACGGGUGAGUAACGCGUGGGAAUGUGCCCUUCUCUACGGAAUAGCCCUGGGAAACUGGGAGUAAUACCGUAUACGCCCUAUUGGGGAAAGAUUUAUCGGAGAAGGAUCAGCCCGCGUUGGAUUAGGUAGUUGGUGGGGUAUUGGCCUACCAAGCCGACGAUCCAUAGCUGGUUUGAGAGGAUGAUCAGCCACACUGGGACUGAGACACGGCCCAGACUCCUACGAGAGGCAGCAGUGGGGAAUCUUAGACAAUGGGGGCAACCCUGAUCUAGCCAUGCCGCGUGAGUGAUGAAGGCCUUAGGGUUGUAAAGCUCUUUCAGCUGGGAAGAUAAUGACGGUACCAGCAGAAGAAGCCCCGGCUAACUCCGUG
This 433-nucleotide ribosomal RNA is filed under the name uncultured bacterium. RNAcentral describes it as "partial 16S ribosomal RNA". It matches the Rfam family "Bacterial small subunit ribosomal RNA", at positions 29 to 507 of the family's 1533-position model. The record is from RNAcentral.